This 460-nucleotide ribosomal RNA is filed under the name uncultured bacterium. Its description in RNAcentral is "partial 16S ribosomal RNA". It matches the Rfam family "Bacterial small subunit ribosomal RNA", at positions 338 to 794 of the family's 1533-position model. The record is from RNAcentral.
CCUACGUGCGGCAGCAGUGAGGAAUAUUGGUCAAUGGGCGCGAGCCUGAACCAGCCAAGUAGCGUGAAGGAUGACUGCCCUACGGGUUGUAAACUUCUUUUAUAAAGGAAUAAAGUGAGGCACGUGUGCCUUUUUGUAUGUACUUUAUGAAUAAGGAUCGGCUAACUCCGUGCCAGCAGCCGCGGUAAUACGGAGGAUCCGAGCGUUAUCCGGAUUUUUUGGGUUUAAAGGGAGCGUAGAUGGGUUGUUAAGUCAGUUGUGAAAGUUUGCGGCUCAACCGUAAAAUUGCAAUUGAUACUGGCAGUCAUGAGUACAGUUGAGGUAGGCGGAAUGCGUGGUGUAGCGGUGAAAUGCUUAGAUAUAACGAAGAACUCCGAUUGCGAAGGCAGCUUACUAAACUGCCACUGACAUUGAUGCUCGAAAGUGUGGGUAUAAAACAGGAUGAGAGACUCCUGGAGGA